Molecule: ribosomal RNA, 253 nt
Filed under: uncultured bacterium
Lineage: Bacteria
Description: partial 16S ribosomal RNA
Rfam family: Bacterial small subunit ribosomal RNA
Source: RNAcentral
UACGUAGGGGGCAAGCGUUGUCCGGAAUCAUUGGGCGUAAAGAGCGUGUAGGCGGCCAGAUAAGUCCGCUGUGAAAUCUCGAGGCUCAACUUCGAGCUGUCGGUGGAAACUGUCUGGCUAGAGUUCGGAGGAGGAGAAUGGAAUUCCUGGUGUAGCGGUGAAAUGCGCAGAUAUCAGGAAGAACACCCGUGGCGAAGGCGGUUCUCUGGGACGGUACUGACGCUGAGACGCGAAAGCGUGGGGAGCGAACAGG